GAAGGAUCAUUACAAGAAGAACGAGGCCUUCGGGUCUCGAUCCUCAAACCACUGUGUACCGUAUCUCUUGUGUUUGGCGGGCGCGCCUCCCCUCCGCGGGGUGGUCAGCCCGCCGAAGAUGCAGACCGUCCGUCCGAUGAACGUCUGAAACCAAAUCGUUUUUAACGAGAAUUAAAGUACAACUUUCAACAAUGGAUCUCUUGGUUCUGGCAUCGAUGAAGAACGCAGCGAAAUGCGAUAAGUAAUGUGAAUUGCAGAAUUCAGUGAAUCAUCGAAUCUUUGAACGCACAUUGCGCCCUUUGGUAUUCCGAGGGGCAUGCCUGUUCGAGCGUCAUUUAAAAACAUCAAGCACGGCUUGGUCUUGGGCGGGGUCUCCGGACCCGCCUGUAACCGGUUGGCGGCACCGCCUGGCUUUAAGCGUAGCAAGUCUUACCCUCGCUUCGGAGCCCGUGUGGGGACCGGCCCUAGGUACCUCUAAAGUUUGACCUCGGAUCAGGUAGGGAUACCCGCUGAACUUAA
This 519-nucleotide ribosomal RNA is filed under the name uncultured Mycosphaerellaceae. RNAcentral describes it as "eukaryotic LSU rRNA". The stretch from base 181 to 334 matches the Rfam family "5.8S ribosomal RNA". The record is from RNAcentral. Lineage: Eukaryota; Fungi; Ascomycota; Dothideomycetes; Mycosphaerellales; Mycosphaerellaceae.